UGACUUCAUUUCUUACCAAGUUCCUUUUGGAGAAUGGAAUGGGUAUACUUUUUUGGAAAAAGGUUUGGUGUCAUUGAAUCUCAACUUGGCACUGAAGGAGUUGCAGCAUCCAGGGUUUUCAGAGAAAACAUCUCUAUUGUUGUAGAUUAAGAUAAAACCAGACAAAUCCUAUUUAAUGGAGCCAAUCAGGGAAUUUUAUCCGAGUUGAAAUCUAAUUCUGGAAAUCAUAUUAAUGGAGAUAGCACACAUUGUUGCUCUCAGCAGAGAGUUGGAUUUGCAGUAGCCGACGCCAACGGUAAUUCUGAAAUUUUCGUAGCUGCGUGCUCGUUCUGUGACACAAAAGUGUGCAAUUACUGUGGGUCAAAUUGUUCAAAAUGCUACAAACUAUUCUGCUCUCAUUGUUCCAUCCCGGAUUAUAGCUGCACAAAUACAGUGUACAUUUGUCACACAUGUUAUUGCUAAAUCAAGAAAAAUGGAUGCAGAUGGUGUCUUACUGAAUCAUUCUGUAUGAUCUUCAGUAGCUGUUGGUUUGAAAAUAAAAUAGUAAUGAAUCAAGAUGGUGAUGGUCUAGUUGGAUUCCACAUUCAAUAAGCAUCUGUUGCAGGUAACUUCUAGUCAUAGUCCUAAUUGAGUAGGAGUGAUAAUAAAUUUGAAACAAUAUUUUCAUAAAAUACAGAUUAAUAUUCUAAUUAGGUAAUUCGUAAGUUCGUUGUAUUGAAAAGGCUGUUUUAAAAUUUUGAAUGUAAGUAAAUUAGUUAAGUUAUGCUUGGUACUGUUUCCAUAAGGGUGCAAAAUGUGAUAACCACGAAUGAUCGUGCUCCUGCUCACAGUGAAAAAAUAGUGAAUAGUUUCAUCUACAGGUCCUUUCAUGUUCAGUGAGUGAUGCAACCCAAAUAUACCGAUUUCCUUGAAAUUUUUUUUGGUGAACGGAAAAUACUGUCAAGUAAUAACCGUUGGUACAUUUUUACCUCUUGGGACCCAAAACUUUGAAAGUUAAAAAAUAUUCAGAUUUUUUCCGAUUUGGCCUCUGAUGUGCAAAGUCUUGUACCCAAGAAAUUUAUGUCUCUGCAAGAAAUGUAUAAAUAUUCCUCAACAUAUCACUGAUCACUCAAGAGUCUAUCAAGCUCUAAGAGAAAAAUGUUUCAUGACCUUUGCUACUUUCUGAAGCUAUCAGAUUUUAGCACCAUCAGGUAUCAUUUUCUUUCCUUUUAAUACCAUCUUGUUUAAAUUGUGAAAUUUCAAAAUAUAUUUGUGCAUUUCUUGGAAAAAUGUGAGUUUCUUUGGUACCAGACUCGGGAAAUUAGAGGCCGAAACAGUAAAAAUGUGAAUAUUUUUUUCUUUCUGGUCGGAAGAACUAAAAAAUUUUACAGCUUUAAAGUAGUGUCGGUGGGUUACAUCACUGAAUCACUCGGUGAAAAAUGACCUUUUGAGUAUUUUCUAACUGUUGACAUUGUUCUUUAACUUGGUCUGAGCACUUAUUUGUUGCCAUGCACAAGACAUAUUCUCAUUGAUGUAUUUUCCAUGUACUACCGUCAAAACUCUAUAAAUAUGUAAUUCAAGUUCAUGCAAAGAUUCUUGUUCUUAAUAUUAAUUCUGACUUUUUUCUUUAAAAGAGAAAAGGUAAGUACAGGACAUCCGUGUACUUCUUAAUUAAAAAAAAAAAAAAAAAAAAAAAAAAAAAAGGGGUACUAAUUUCGUUAAGACUAUGAGAUCUUAUUGCAAAUUAUUUGAGUAAGUAUUUGAAAAUGAAAAUAAAAUGCACCUUUUAAAAUUUA
Bemisia tabaci is the source of this 1775-nucleotide non-coding RNA. The record is from RefSeq and is a predicted model, not a curated record. NCBI's taxonomy places the organism in Eukaryota, Metazoa, Arthropoda, Insecta, Hemiptera, Aleyrodidae.